GUCCCGUAUGAUAUGAUCUUUCUAAUUUUAAUGCCAAAUUAGAGUUUUUACCCCAAUUUCACGGUCCACUGAACAUGGAAAAUGAUAGUGCGAGUGGGGCAUUCGUGUACUGAGGACACAUUCUUGUUUGAAGAGAUUAAUAUUCAACAGCAUAGUGAAUUGCUCUAAGAGAAAACAAAAAUUUUAAGUUCAUUAGAACACAUUCAUUCUGUGUCAGAAACCUAUGCUGUGUCAACUAUUUAAUCACAAUCCAAAUUUAGAGCUGAAUCCAGCUUGAAUGUUGUGUCCAUACUUGCCCCAACCGUUCAGGGUUCAACCUCUGCGGUCGUAUAAAGCUACGCCCUGCAGAGCAUCUGGUUUUACUUUAUUCAAGAAAAAAUAAAUCACACCUUAUCAAAUCAUUCAUAAAAAAAUAAAGAAAGACAAUCAACUCUCUAUUUACUUAGAGAGAACACAUUGUAACUGAUUGAAAAGUUAUUUUUUUGAAUGUUAAACCAAAUGUUUAGAUCAUUUAUACAAAAUAAAUAACUUUUACAAAAAUUGUUCACAAAAUUUACAUGCAUAGAAAAAAUGAGGGGACCCUAUUUCAUUAUGAAAGGUUUUUCUUCAUUUUUUUUUCUAAUUCAAAACCACGAUAGAUUUAAUCAAUGAUAUUCAGACUGAAGUCAAAUAAAAGAUAGACAUGAUUGUAGUUGUACCCGCUAAUAUUUAAUUGCUUUGAAAAAUUUCACAUACAAAAAAUCUACAAUCAUUGAAAUGGAGUUUGUCCUCUGUGUUACAGUAUUGAAAUAUAUCAAAGAUGUGCCCAAUUGUGACUGUACAUGCUUCUGCUUAACAAGCUAUUUGUUUGCAAUCAGUAUUACAGCAUUAUUUUCGAGAAAUUGACAAUUUGAAAAAUCUUUAGAUGUUUGAAAACAAUACUUUAGUAUUUUCAAUAUAGAAAUAUGAAUUGAAUAAAUAAUGAAUAUUUUUUUUAGCAUUUAUUUUUAUUGCAAAUUUUGAGAAAAACAAAUGUACAAACAGAAGAAUAUUUAAAACAUAAUUUGAAUAAAUAUGAAACACUUUUUUUCAAGUGAGGUAGUUCUGAAUAUCAGUAACUUUCAACUUAUACAGUUACUUCAGAAUAGAAUUUUGCACAGAAUACUCUAUUUCCAUCCCAUAAUUUUUACCAAGAAAGAAUUGUUUAAAAAAUGACAUUCUAGGGAUAACAAAAGAUAGUAAUAUUUUCAUUCAUCAGAUUUUAUUUGAAUUGUAACAUGUACUCUGUACUAAGUGUUUUAAUUUAUUUCAUAUCUUACUCAUUAAUGUAAUAUGUUGAAUCAAACCAUUUCUAUCUCCAUAAUACAUAUGUAGAUUUUGUGUACUUUUUAUCAAUGUAUAUAUACAACAUAUACAUAUAAGUUAACUGUAUUUUGAUGUGUUCUGAAGCAUUUUUUGUAUGUAUGGUUUGCCCCCCUGUUUUUAUGUGUAAUUUAUUAUUAGAUAAACGUAACAACUCAAUAUUAUACAACCUUUUUAUAUGCAAGUUUCUUUUAUGGUAUUUGGUGCUUUUACACAAUUUUUCCCUAGAUAAAUAAAGUUUCAUGACUUUCACAAGCAAAUUCUUUAGAAUCUAUGUUGUACUGUAUAUCAGACAUUAAAAUUCAGUUUCUUAACAUCGUACCUAUAUUUGAUAUAAAUGUCAGACAAAAAGAUUCAAAUUUUAGUUUUCAGAAAUGUUUUUUAUUGUGGCUGUGAUUGACAUUAUAAUACUAUUUUCUAAUAGCAUUUUCCACAUUUAUUGUCAAAAGGUCAUUAAUUUGACAUAAAAAAAAUUGGAAAGAAAUUUUUGUUUAUAACUUAAAUUGAGAAAAGUCUAAUUAAAAAAAAAAAAAUUGAUAUGGCAGGAAGCUGUUGUUAAUUGUCUGGUCCUGAUAUUUGAUGAAAUAAAAUGUCUGCCACAAUCUACAAGGAAAAGCAAAAAACUUUUCAUUUGCUUGAAUUUAUGAAAAAAUUGGGAAAUUACAAAGUUACUUUAGAUUAUCCGUAUUGGCUCCAUACAGUCAUUGAUUGUUUCAGGGGCUGUUGAUCACUGCAGUUCUUUGGGAAGUUAUUUUAUUUAAAGGAGGACAUCAACCAAUACACUAAUAUUGAUUUCUUAAGUCUAAUUUUGGAGUCUUAGGUUACAAUAGGGCGUAAUCAUGUAAUACUGAUGUUACCUGUAAUCUAUUUCUGCACUAGAACCAAUCCAUGAAUCAAAGCGAUAUUCAAAUAAAUUUGAAGUCUUCAUAGUUUUUAUUCUGUAGAUAUACAUGUAAAUUAUGUACUGUAACUCUGUUCUAUAAAUUAUGUACUGUAACUCUGUUCUAUAAGAUAUAUAAAGUAUGCUAAUGAGAGACUUGUAGUGUGCUGUAUGAUAUAGUAUGUGCUAUCUGUUAUUUUGGAUGUGUGUGGUAUGCUAUAAAUUGUGGAGUUGUGCUAUAUUCAGCUUGAGUGAUAUAUAAGUGUAUUUGCUUAUCUUUGUUUAUCUGUUAACUAGAGCUAUCUUCUGUGAUGUGAUUUAUUUUGCUUUGUUGGAUACUCAGAGCUGGAUCUGUUGAGUUUUGUAAUUCCCCUCCCCCUUUUUUCCCUAUUCAGAGAUCUAUACAUUUGAUUCAUGAAGUCAUUCUUAAAUCAUUCAUAUCAUGAUUAAAACCACAUAAAAUAUGGAAAUUAUAUUUAUGUAUUCUGACACUUGUAAUGUAGUUAUACUGAUUUCAGACUUUCUAUCAUUUUGUAGUGUUAAUUUUUAUAUAAGUUAAUAUUGCAAGACAUUAUAGUGUACAUGAUUUCACAAUUAAUUGAUAAAUACAUGAUUUCAAAAGCUAUUUCAUUUUAUGUACAACUAGUAGAACUUGUUUCAGUAGCUCAAAAUUAUGUGCUCAAUACAUAAAUCUGACAUAAGAAUAUAAUAGAAUUAUUUUAUGUAAUGUUUAUAGUUGUUCUUACAGUAACAGAUCAUUUCACAAAUCUUGCUUGAAAAUCAGACUUUUGACUGCAAAAAAAAACUUUAAAUGGCAACUUUCUGAAUUCAUUUUUGGUGAAAAUACUUCUUAUAGAAGUCAUUAUUGUACUUUAUCUUUAUUUUCCCUUAAACUUAAACAAUCAGUUUCUGUCUCUUGAAUUACAUAAUGAUAUUUAGUCUCGUAAACCAUGUCUUGCGACGUCUGUCGAUUUGUCUGUGAACAAUUAAUUGCUUCGAAGUACUUUUUUUCUUGUGGCUGAUUUGUGAUGGAAUAUUUAGUUCCUAGUUAUUUAAUUCAGACCUUCAUUUUUCCAGGCCUCUUAACUUUAGUAACCAUGAACUUCAAAUGCAUAAAAAAUAAUUGGCAUCGAACCAAAGUCUUUUAAAUGAAAUCAGUCACAAGAAUUGAGACAAUUUUAGUCCCCAUUGAAGAUUAUCAUUUGUUUUGUUCACUAAAUGAAAAGUAUUUUAUAAAGGUUUUACCCAGCAAAGAUUACUUUUAAGUUCCACAAUGAAUUACUGGUUAACAGUAUGUAGUUUAUUCCUGUAUUGUAAAACAUGAUAUUAAAGUAAUCCUGAAGACACUAAAUAAAGUAUGAUAUUCUUUUCGAAACACUUUUAUACUUUAUUGUAUUGAUUGAUAUACUUUAGUAUUGUUUUAUAUAUAGAAUGGGAUUUAAAAAUUAUUGAUUCUAGUGCUAAAGUAACAUUUUGCAUAUUUUAUUAAUCCUGAGGCAACUAUAAAAAAGAAAAGACAGUAUCAAUGAAAGUGUAUCUGGGAAGUGAAUCAUUUUAUAAAACUGAUGAAGAUCUGAAAAAAUGUCUUCCAGUCAUUCAAGAUGUUAUCCUUUGGUCUGAAUGAAUAAAAGUUUUACAUACAUAAUCAUCUGACUAGUAAUAAUUGAAUCCUUGUAUGUUUCUAUAUUUUAGUGAAAUCUUGUAAAAGUAUAAUUUUGUGGAGUUUAAUUGAGUCUAAAGUGGACUCAAAACAGUUGUUUUGAUUCUAGAUGGGAAGCAAUCAUUUGAUAUUUAUUGGAGAGAUAAGGAAAUUUGCAAAUGAGUUCAAAAUUCUGAAGAAAUAUUCAAAAGAAUAAAGGUUAUAGAAACAUAGAAAAAAUAAAAAUCAUAAACAAACAAAAUAAAGGAAGUACAAACAGAUUUUGGGCAAACAUUUUUUUUGCCUAAAAUAAUCAGAGGUCACAAGCUUUUUUGUGUGCCCCAAAGUGAAAUGGUUGCUCCCUUAUCUUUAAAGGUCCACAUAUUUAACGGACAAAUCAAUGGUAAUCUACAAUGGCUCUCUCUAAUUGUUUGUAUUUGUACAUAUAAAUAUAAUCUGCAUUUUAUGUGGACAUCCUUAGACUGCUGUCAUAUUGACUCCCUAAGGGUAGUGCCAAAUUUUUAUUAUUCUAUUAUAUAUAUAUACUUAACAGUUUUGUUUAUACAAUGAUAAUGCAAUUCAAAACUCAAAAAA
Molecule: long non-coding RNA, 4454 nt
Filed under: Mytilus galloprovincialis (Mediterranean mussel)
Lineage: Eukaryota; Metazoa; Mollusca; Bivalvia; Mytilida; Mytilidae
Source: RNAcentral